CUAGGCUAAUUCCCACCCUGCGACCGAUGUUCCCCUCUCUCUCCGAUUUUUUCGAUCCCCUUUUCUCUCCCUCUUUCGUCUUCCUCUUUCCUCCGGUUUACUGUGCGGCUUCGUUCGGCGAUCUCCGUCCCUUCUUCGACAGAUCUGGUGCCGCCGGAGCUCGGACGGCUACCUUAUCUUCCCCCUUGGCGCCAUCUGUCUCUCCGAAGCCGUUGAUCCCCUUUACGCUUCCUCUUUUCUCCGAUUUACUGUGCGGCUUCGAUCGGCGAUCUCCGCCCCUUCUUCGACAGAUUGUAAUAUACCGGACGAUUCGUAGCCGCCAAAUGAUGAAAUUGCUCUGAUGGCUUGGUCGGCGAUGAGGAUGAUGGUGGUUUCCGGCAGCGGCUUCGAUGUAACCGAGGUAAGAAAAAGGUAAGAGAUAGAGAUAGGAGAUAGAAAAAUGGGGUAGAGAGACAGAGAUAGAGGAUUGAGAUAGAGAUUAAAGAUAGAGAAAGAGUAGAAUUGGGAUAGAGAAAUAGUAGAGAGGAAGAAAGGGUUUGGAGAAAAACUUUUGGGGGAGAAAUAGACUAAUUCAUUUUCAUUCAUCGAUGCCUUGCAAUUACAUCCUGCUAACUAUAUAUAGCCUAUACAACUUGUACUGAAAUGUAAUUAAACUAUUUUAUGAGAUGAAACAGCAAAAGAGUAAGUUUGGAGCAUGGGCCUGAUGGGCCGCCAUUCUCUGGUGGACGGGCCCUCCGUUGGGCUUGAUCGGUCCAAGAGUAUUUGUAACCGGUUCAAGUGGGUAUCGGGUGGCCCCUCUCCGCACUACCCGCAACCCUGCGGGUCUUGGGUUCGCUAUUGCGCCCCGAUUCGAGCUCCCGGUUCGCCCAACCCAUACGUAACGGUAAGUGGGCGUCGGAUCUUGCCUUCUCCGCAUCAUCCGCAACCCGGUGGGGCUUGGAUCCGCGUUUUUCCUCCGCUCCGAGGUCCUUAAGCUUCGAUACGCCAGUCUUCUUCUUCGCCCCAACUCCAGGGAUUCCGUCGGACCUUCCAGCGCCCUCUCCGAGCUUUGAGGAUGCCCUAGCUCCGUCGUCCCACCAGAGCUCCGCCCGGACCACCUCUCGCCAGACUGCUCCGUCAAGCUCGCCUGAGCCCCUUCGAAGACGCUUCUCGUCAGACCCACCUGCCGCACCUUCUCCUCCCCAUCUGCUGCUGCCACUUAUUCUCCUCCUAGCUAGUAAAGCUGCUACCUUUACUCCUCUUAUACAGCUAACUACCAAUACUUGUUAUCUUCCAGGUUGUUACACAGAUCUGGUGCCACCGGAGCUCGGACUGCUACCUCUUCUUCCUCCUCGGCGCCAUCUGUCUCUCCGAAGCCGUUGAUCCCCUUUCCGCUUCCUCUUUUCUCCGGUUCACUGUGCGGCUUUGAUCGGCGAUCUCCGUCCCUUCUUCGACAUAUCUGGUGCCACCGGAGCUCGGACGGCUACCUCAUCUGACUCCUCGGCACCGUCUGACUCUCCGAAGCCGUUGAUCCCCUUUCCUAGCCCUCUUCCCUCCGCGAUUUACUGUGCGUCGCCGAUCGGGAACCUCCGCUUCCUCCUCCGCACCUCGUUGCCUCACCUCAUCCGCGCGCGCCUUCGUCU
Molecule: long non-coding RNA, 1622 nt
Filed under: Ananas comosus (pineapple)
Lineage: Eukaryota; Viridiplantae; Streptophyta; Magnoliopsida; Poales; Bromeliaceae
Description: long non-coding RNA (ACOM_LNC028004)
Source: RNAcentral